Molecule: long non-coding RNA, 899 nt
Organism: Arachis duranensis
Lineage: Eukaryota; Viridiplantae; Streptophyta; Magnoliopsida; Fabales; Fabaceae
Exons: 4
Source: RefSeq, a predicted model, not a curated record
AUAUAUGAUUAAUGUGAAUGAAGAACACUAGGUUGAGUUGAAUUGAAUUGAAUCAUGGAUAAGAGCAUGUUAGCUAGUUUGGAAUCACUUCCAGAAGCUUAUCAGCAAAGAAUGGCGUCCAUGAUGGAACAAGUUCAAAUCCGUGACAGUAUCCAAAAUGUUUGCCAAGAAGAAUGCUAUUGGAAAAGAACAGGUGGCAAAAUUAGUGGACGACACGUAUAGGUAAGUCUUGGCAACAAGUUUGAUGGUAUUCUGUUUGAUAUAAAAUACUUAGAUAGUCAUAUGCGGUGCAUAUAUUUGUGUCUGGUUUAUGUUGGUUCUUUGUUCACCUUUUUUUCUUGGCCCAGAAAAAUGCAUAUAUUUGGUGCCACUGACCUUGCAUCAAAGGGACAGGGAGCCUCAGAUAGCAGUAAUGUGAAAAUUAAAGUGUGACGAUCCACGAUGCCAUGUGUGGCAGCACAUAAAUUGUGUUAUUGUUCCAGAAAAACCUAUGGAAGGUGUCCUGCCAGUACCUGAUAAAUUUUAUUGUGAACUCUGCAGACUCAGCCGUGCAGACCCGUUUUGGGUUUCAAUGGGACACCCCUUGUUUCCUGUGAAGUUGAGCAUAACAAGUCACAACUCGUGUUGGCCAUUGUCUCUGAGGGAAGCAAGUCACACCACCCGUUUUUUUCAAUGAAAAAGAACUAACACUAGUAAUUUAUUUAUUUUACUUUCUCAUGAUCUAUCAUAUGUGGAUUGAGCACUAAUAAUAAAAAGUUAGGAAUGACUUUAACAUUUUGAAUUUUUAUUAGAAGAUAUUUAUGUAGGAUAUAAUAUUUUAAUUUAGUUUUUCGAAGAGUAUUAGUAGUAAAUUCUAAGUGAUUUUAUGCUUAUUUUGAUAAAGCUAUGCUUAAUUUAGU